CAGCUUGAAAACGAAAACAGAAAAGUCAUCAAAGCUCAGUCCGGGGCUGAGGUGUCAGUAAAAUUUGUUGAUGUAUUUACACACAUGUAACUAACUUUUAUGAGAAUUAUAGGACGUCGAAACAUUGUGGUAGACCUCCUAAUCUUUACUGAAUUGAAGUCUUACUUGAUGUGUUUCAGGAUGAGGCCUGCGUCCUUUGAAGACAGCAGCAUGGAAAUGUGCCCAGGUGAAUUGGCAGUCCCACUGAGAAGUGAAAAUAGAUGUCCAUUCACACUGAGACGGCUUUUCGGGUCCCGGCCAAUUCUGCCAGGCUGCCAACAGGGUGGCGUGACUGAGAGGGAAAUGAAUUGUGGGUACAGAGGGUUCCUCUUGACGUUCAAGACAACACCACUGUUAAGGAAGAACCCUUUCCCCCUUUUGGACCCCACUGACUUUCAUUCUACAGUAUGUAUAAAAACACAAAACAUCCCUAGAGAAAAAUAACACACACACACACACACACACACACACACACACAUCGUUUCGAACAAUGUCAGUAAAUGUUAAUAGAUUUUACCUUUAUUUAGUAUGAAAUAAAUGUAUUUUAAAUAUGUGACUUUUUUGAUAC
This is a long non-coding RNA of Cyprinus carpio (common carp), 607 nucleotides long. Lineage: Eukaryota; Metazoa; Chordata; Actinopteri; Cypriniformes; Cyprinidae. The record is from Ensembl.